CCCUCUCAACGACAGGAAGUGGCACACAUGGCAGCGACAUGGCCCUGCAUAUCAAUUGAAGGCACCUGGUUGGUAUCACUGAGAACGAAGGGAGCCAGCAGGCAUAAAAAAAUCAAGAGGGCUACAUACAUAAAUGUGUGAGGCAGUGAGGGCAGCAGAUGAAUAUAGCAAGAAGUGGGAACAUCUCAUGUGAUACAUAGCGGUCAAAUGUUCCGCCACCAAAGUCAUGCACAAGUUACUUGUAGUCUUUCCAGUAAUUUCCAAAAUAA
Long non-coding RNA from Ornithodoros turicata, 269 nucleotides. RefSeq lists it as uncharacterized. The record is from RefSeq and is a predicted model, not a curated record. Lineage: Eukaryota; Metazoa; Arthropoda; Arachnida; Ixodida; Argasidae. The transcript has 3 exons.